This 375-nucleotide long non-coding RNA is filed under the name Pan paniscus (pygmy chimpanzee). RNAcentral's name for it is "lncRNA (ENSPPAG00000045341.1)". Lineage: Eukaryota; Metazoa; Chordata; Mammalia; Primates; Hominidae. The record is from RNAcentral.
GUUCGGAUCUGUACAUUUUAAUGUUUGCAGUUAUGUUCCAAUUUGAAAAUUCUUCUUUAAGGUAGAAAUCUACCACCCGAAAGGAUUAGAAUGCAUGCUCCUCAUCUUGAUAGCUGUAUCUCUGUGGAUCUUUCACAGGAAUUCUCAAAAGGAAAAUAAUGCAUAGGAUAGGACUUCUAAGUUGACUAAUUGUUCAACAUGGCUGCCAUAAACUGGAUAUUGAUAUCUAUGAGUAAGUUAUCGACAUUUCCUUAGAACCCUAUCUACUUUGUAUUUUUCUUGCAUGUCUAAUUUAUGCCUAUGUAAUAUAGAUAUCAAGUAAUGAAACCAUAUCAUUCAUUCUAUAAAUAUGCUUUUUCCUUAUCAAUUUCUGUU